RNAcentral lists this transfer RNA (75 nucleotides) under Limnohabitans curvus. RNAcentral describes it as "tRNA-Val". It matches the Rfam family "tRNA". Rfam says of the family: Transfer RNA (tRNA) molecules are approximately 80 nucleotides in length. The record is from RNAcentral. Lineage: Bacteria; Pseudomonadati; Pseudomonadota; Betaproteobacteria; Burkholderiales; Comamonadaceae. RNAcentral also lists the same sequence under 12 other names.
GGGCGAUUAGCUCAGGGGUAGAGCACCACAUUCACACUGUGGGGGUCGCAAGUUCGAAACUUGCAUCGCCCACCA